CGCAAGCGAGGUGGACGAGACGAAGCGGCGCUGGGAUACUUAAGGCGAUGUGCUGCUGCCUGGGCCAUGUUACUCCGUGUUACUUCGGCCGGAGCAGACUAACCUAGCACCUCAUCGGCUAAGGAAACAAGGGAAGCCAAGAUGCGUUCUGCCACCCUCACCCUCGCCUUCGUCCUAACUUCCUGCGUCGCCCUCCUGCACGCGGCCCCAUCCUCCUCCUCCUCCUCCUCCUCCUGCGACCUCCCCGAAUGUAGGAUCAUCGCAGGGCAGGAGAUUCGGUGCAAAAACCUCAACAACUGGCAUGAGUACUACCGCCACCCCGCGAACAAGCACCUCUACGUCCAGUGCACCACCAGUGGGCCGGCCGUGAUGAGCUGCGCGCCCGGUACAGCCUGGAGCCCGGUCAGCGGCGUGUGCGUGCAUGAGGACCUUGUGCCCGACUGUGAGGCCACCACUGCCUAAGGACCCGAGAAGAGAGAAAUGAGAGCGCCUCCUGGUACUCAUAAGACCUCCCUCUCCCACUCCCCAUCCUCAUCUUCCUCCUCUUCCUCCUCCUCCUCCUCCUCCCUUUAACUUAACAGGUCGCCGCCUCUAAGCCCCCCUGUCGCUGUUGCUGUCGCCGAGAAGAAAACAAGAGACCGGGAGCAACACGUAUUGUCUGUACAGGCAGCGCUACAUGUGGCCACUCAACUCUAAGCUGUAUUUUCCAUAGAGUUCAAGUUAUGGACUAGAGUGCGUCAGAGGCUGUCUCAGGGAUACACAGCCAUGAUGUCGCCAUCGCCCCAAGCCGAUGACUGCACACACUUCACUCCUACCCGAUUUCAGUUUUUCUCCAUGUCAAAUAGUAGAGUCAGGAAAUCGGGUAGGAGUAAAGUGCGUGCAGGCGUUGGCUUGGAGCGGUGGCGGCACCAAGGCCUUGUAUCCUGGAGGCAGCCUCAGACGCACUCUAGUACAUAACAUGAGUUCUAUGGAAAGUACUGCUUUGACAGUAAUGAACACGAAGGACACGGAUGUUAUGGGCGCACGUGCGAGAAGCAGUUUGAAAUAUAACAAUAGGGAUAGGAAGGAAGGAAGGGAAGGAAGGAAGGAAGGAAAAUUAAGAAGGAUAAUAACGAGGUCGAAUAAAAUUGUGGAAGACAAUAUCAGUGUUUUCUUCUUAUUCUUUUCUUUACCUAAUCCUUUUAUUUCUCUUCUUACAGGGGUCAUGAUGCUGAUGAUGAGUAUAAGAUAGAUAAAGUAUGUGAGGAAGAGGAAGAAGAUUAAGAGGAGGAGGAGGAGGAGGAGGAGGAAGAGGAGGAGGAGGAGGAGGAGGAGGAGGAGGAGGAGGAGGAAUACAUAGGAAUACAUAGGAAGAACAGACACCAGAAGACAUGGCGGUCAAUGGCGAGGGUGUCUGUUUACUACCGCUACUACUAGUAAUCCACGCGCGGUAGGACAGGACAGAAUAGAUGAAGUGGGAUGAUUGGCACCCUUUCCCUCCCUUCCCUCCCUUCCCUUCCCAUUCCCACCUCCUUAUGGCUCCCUCCAUCCUCCUAUUCCUCCUCCAUUUCUUCCCCUCCCUUUCUUCUUCCUUCUAGCUCCCUGUCACCCUACCCAGACCUUUCCCUCUCUUCCUUCCUCAUUAUCCUUCCCUUCCACUCUCCUCCAUCUUCUUUCCUUCUCCUCCUUCUCCUUUCCAUUUUCACCUUCUUUUUCUUUCCUUUGCUCUCUCUCUUUCCCUGUGGUUCCUGUCUCUCCUUUCUUUCUUCUCCUUUCUCCUUCCCCCCAUUCUCUUCCCUGCUCUUCCUCCUUCUCCUUUUCUCAUUUUUUUUCUCUCUAUUUCUUUUUCUUAAUGCAAUAACACUGAGUCACUUCUUCCAGGUCUUUCCUUCUUCUUCUCUUCUUCUGCCUUUUUUUCUUCCAUGUAUAUUCUAUCUUUCUUCUUUCCUCUCCUUCCUUCUUCUUUCCUCUUAUUUCCUCCCCUUUCCUCUUUUCCUUGCUACCAUAACACCUAGCCACUUCAUUUAAUACUCCUUCUUUCCUUCUUCUUCCAUCUCUUCCUCGCUUUAAUUCCUAUCCGUUUUCUCUUCCUUCGCUUCCUUUAUAUUCUCCUCUCACCUUCGCUUUUCCUCUUCUUUCCUCCCUUCCUUAUAACAGUAAGGCCAUGUCACUUCUUCCAGCUUUUCUUUCCUCCCUCCCUCCUCUUUCCUCGUUCCUUCUAUGUAUCCCCUUCGUUUUCCUUCAAUUCCUAUCCCUCAUAUGUUCCUUCCCUUCACAAUCUUUACCUAUGACGCCUUAAAUCUCUCCCACAUCGCCUCCUCCUCUUCUAUCUCGUCUUAGGUUACCCACGUAAUACUACGCAGUCAAGCAAUGGUAGGUCGGAGGAGAGGCAAGAAACAAGGCAUUCCCGUCGUCGUGUUAUCAGGAGAUGCAGCUUGGUUAUACCCAAAAUGUAUUAAGAAAUUGGUUUUACUGUGUUGACGCAAGCGAGGUGGACGAGACGUAGAAGCGCUGGGAUACUUAAGGCGAUGUGCUGCUGCCUGGGACAUGUUACUCCGGGUGACUUCGGCCGGAGCAGACUAACCUAGCGCCUCAUCAGCUAAGGAAACAAGGGAAGAUGCGUGCUGCCACCUUCACCCUCGCCCUCGUCUUGACUUCCUGCGUCGCCCUCCUGCACGCGUCCCCACACUCCUAUUCUUCUUCCUCCUGCUACCCUCCCGUAUGCAGGAUCAUCGAGGGGCAGGAGUUUCGGUGCAAGGACAUCAACAACUGGCAUGAGUAUUAUUACCCCACUAACAAGCACCUCUACGUCCAGUGCACCGGCAGUGGGCCAAUGGUGAGGAGGUGCGCGCCCGGUACAGCCUGGGGCUCGGACACCUUCGUGAACUGGAAUGGGGAACGCCUGCCCGACUGUGAGCGCACCUCCCUCUCCACCUCCUCCUGUUCCUCCUCCUUCUCCUCUUCCUCCUCCUCCCUUUAAGUUAACAGGUCGCCGCCUCUAAGCCCCCCCCUGUCGCUGUUGCUGUCGCCGAGAAGAAAACGAGAGACCGGGAGCAACACGACAGCCAGGACCAUUGCUGCCCCUGCCCCGACGACCCAUCUUAAUUUCCCGACGCGGCGCCGUGUUGCGAAAGAAUUAAGAGAAAGUAAUGAACACGGAGGACACGGAUGUUAUGGGCGCACGUGUGAUGGGGAGGAGGUGGGGGGAAGGAUGUAGUGAGUGUGUGUGUGUGUUUGAAGGGGGGUAGGGGUGUGUGUAUACAAGCAUGACUAUAAUAAUAACAACAGUGGAAUAAAAGGGAAGCGACAACUAGAAGAAUUUUAACAAGAAAUAUGAGAACGUUAAGAACUAUUAUUAACAAAAGCAUGUGAGUCUCUAGCAACAACAACAAAGACAGAAAGAAGGACAGUAAACAACUUAUAAAUACGAACGGCAAAAGAAAAGAAAAAAACCCAGCCCAAAAAACAAAGGAGCAUCGAGCAUAAAACAAAAGAAAACAAGGGGAAAUAUUGUCGGGAAAAUACUAGAGAGAAACUAAGAAAUGUAAGAAAUGAUUAGAUUUUAUAACCAAUAGCGAGAAGCAGUUUAAAAUAUAACAAUGAAACUAAUCUAACAAAGGAAACAAUAAGGAAAGGAAGGAAGGGAAGGAAAGGAAGGAUUAAGGAGGGAAGGAAGGAAGGAAGAAAAUUAUAAAGUAUAACAAUGGAGGUCGAAUAAAAUUGAGCAAGACUA
This is a long non-coding RNA of Eriocheir sinensis (Chinese mitten crab), 3712 nucleotides long. RefSeq lists it as uncharacterized. Lineage: Eukaryota; Metazoa; Arthropoda; Malacostraca; Decapoda; Varunidae. The record is from RefSeq and is a predicted model, not a curated record. The transcript is spliced from 6 exons.